This 463-nucleotide long non-coding RNA is filed under the name Sinocyclocheilus grahami. RNAcentral describes it as "lncRNA (ENSSGRG00000036348.1)". Lineage: Eukaryota; Metazoa; Chordata; Actinopteri; Cypriniformes; Cyprinidae. The record is from RNAcentral.
UUUCUGUUUGGUCAAUUCUGAUGUAACAGGAAAUAAAUGUAAAUGCUUAUUUUUCAGAAGCUAAAGUGGCCAAAAAAGAGACCAAAGCAGCACCAUCUAAGAAAGAGCCUCGAGUCACAAAAGAAAAGGCCAAACCAGCUCAUUCAAAGAAAGAGCCUGAUUUUUCUAAGGAGAAAGAAAAACCACCAACUGCAAAGAAAGAAAAGCCAACAACUGCUACUGUUAAAAAAGAGCCUGCAGUUGCAAAAGAGAAAGUCAAACCAGUGCCUUCAAAGAAAGAAGGAGAGAGUGAAACCAGCCCCAUUUAAGAAAGAGCCUGAGGUUUCCAAAGAAAAAGCCAAGCCAGACCCGUUAAAGAAAGAGGCUGAAACUGUUGAAGAGAAGGCAAAACCAGCACCAGCUAAAAAAGGUACAGAGCUCAUGCUCUGUAUUUGAGAGGGUAAUAAUAAAAUCAUAAGAUUGA